UACGUAGGCAGCAAGCGUUGUUCGGAGUUACUGGGCGUAAAGGGUGUGUAGGCGGUUGUUUAAGUUUGGUGUGAAAUCUCCCGGCUUAACCGGGAGGGUGCGCCGAAUACUGAAUGACUUGGAGUGCGGGAGAGGAAAGUGGAAUUCCUGGUGUAGCGGUGAAAUGCGUAGAUAUCAGGAGGAACACCGGUGGUGUAGACGGCUUUCUGGACCGUAACUGACGCUGAGACACGAAAGCGUGGGUAGCAAACAGG
RNAcentral lists this ribosomal RNA (254 nucleotides) under uncultured bacterium. RNAcentral describes it as "partial 16S ribosomal RNA". It matches the Rfam family "Bacterial small subunit ribosomal RNA", at positions 524 to 776 of the family's 1533-position model. The record is from RNAcentral.